Long non-coding RNA from Malania oleifera, 624 nucleotides. RefSeq lists it as uncharacterized. The transcript is spliced from 4 exons. Lineage: Eukaryota; Viridiplantae; Streptophyta; Magnoliopsida; Santalales; Ximeniaceae. The record is from RefSeq and is a predicted model, not a curated record.
GGAUUACAAUUUGGUAAGACGUUCUGGAAGACGGGUGGUGUUUUCGCGGUGGAACAUGAGCUAGGAUGCCAGUAGCUGUUCUUCCUCGUCUGUCGCCACCGUCACCUGCCCCAUCUGCCUCGGGCUUGUUGCUCAGGAAUCCUAUUUGGAUCGUUGUUCCGAGGAAGAUGUUGACAUCAUUGUGCGUCAUGUCCUCGGUGUAAUUGACUCAUUCAGGAAAAGAAAUGAGCAACUCCGAAGUGCUCCUGAAGCAAAUAAGAAGUCUUCGAGUCUCUGGUCAUAGAUGCUGCCAGAAGCAUUUUUUGACUGGAAGAGCAGAGCUGUUUGUAAAUGAAAUAGAACUGUUUCUUGCCUCAGGAUUGAAUAUAGAAGCCUAUGAUGAAGUUUAUAUGCAAUAGCUGGGUUGGAAAACUCCCAAGAUCAAUAGUGAGGAUGCACAAGAAGAAUCCAUGAAGGCAAGCCUUUUGCUUCGUACUUGUAUUUCUUUGAUGACGACUCCAAUUAGACUGAUUAAACAAUUCUUUUGAAUUUAGUAAUGCUUUGUUUUAUUUUCUUCUUUUUAAACCUUUCGGUACUUCGCGUAUCAGUACUUUCUUAUUGGUAUAAACUUGAUUUGGUUCCAAA